UACAUGCCAGGAUCUCCUUCCUGUUCCAAC
Molecule: non-coding RNA, 30 nt
Filed under: Mus musculus (house mouse)
Lineage: Eukaryota; Metazoa; Chordata; Mammalia; Rodentia; Muridae
Source: RNAcentral